This 384-nucleotide ribosomal RNA is filed under the name uncultured Acholeplasma sp. RNAcentral describes it as "bacterial SSU rRNA". It matches the Rfam family "Bacterial small subunit ribosomal RNA", at positions 993 to 1382 of the family's 1533-position model. The record is from RNAcentral. Lineage: Bacteria; Bacillati; Mycoplasmatota; Mollicutes; Acholeplasmatales; Acholeplasmataceae.
GCGAUGCUUUAGAGAUAAAGCGGAGGUAUUCGGGGAGACAGGUGGUGCAUGGUUGUCGUCAGCUCGUGUCGUGAGAUGUUGGGUUAAGUCCCGCAACGAGCGCAACCCCUAUUGCUAGUUACCAUCAUUAAGUUGGGGACUCUAGCGAGACUGCCAGUGAUAAACUGGAGGAAGGUGGGGAUGACGUCAAAUCAUCAUGCCCCUUAUGACCUGGGCUACAAACGUGAUACAAUGGCUGGAACAAAGGGAUGCGAAGCAGUGAUGUGGAGCGAAACCCAUAAAAACAGUCUCAGUUCGGAUUGAAGUCUGCAACUCGACUUCAUGAAGUCGGAAUCGCUAGUAAUCGCGGAUCAGAACGCCGCGGUGAAUACGUUCUCGGGGUUU